CAUGAAAGCUGGUGACUGGAUGAACGAAAAUCGAUUCAAACAGCUUCUGAGUGGUCCACAGGGGAGGCUGCCAGGCAGGGUGGACACUGUGCUCUCCACCUCCCUGAACCCGAGCACACAUGGCCUGGAGGAUAUACUGUGUGACUGUGCAUUUUACGGCAGUUUUACAAGAGUGACGUGUCAUAUGAACUUUCCACCUGUGUCUGGGAUGCCCCUGAGUCACCUGGACACGUCUCUUCCAUGGAAGGCUGCACAGGCAGAUGCUGUUAUGACUGAACUGUGUCGCCCCUAAAUUCUCACGCUGAAGCUUUGACCCCCAGAAUCUCAGAAUAUGACUUGAAGGCCCUUGAAGAUUGGGCCUUUAAAGAGUGACUCAGUGAAACCAGGCUGAUAGGUUGGGCUCAAACCCAGUCUGACUGGUGUCCUUGUAAGAAGAGGAGAUGUGGACGCAGACACGCUGAGGGGAGGAGGCUGCAGGGAGGGACAGCCGUCUGCAGGCGAAGGAGAGAGGCCUUGGGGGCAACCGGUGCUGCUGACACCAUGAUCUCGGAGCUCGGCCUCCAGGAUGGUGAGACAUGCAUUCCCGCCCCAGCCUGUGGCGUUGUCGUGGCAGUGGAGCCCACCGCACACCCAGCAUGCCAGCGCCGUGGGUGCCCAGCAUGCCAGCGCCGUGGGUGCCCAGCAUGCCAGCGCCAUGGGUGCCCAGCAUGCCAAGGGGCUGGAUUCGCAGAUGCUCCUGGCUGUAGCUGAUGUGGCCGGACCACAGUGCUCCGCAUUCCUCUCGGCACACAAGGCUCGCCUGCCCCACAUCAGCCCCUGUGGCCAUCAGCACUUUUGCUUUUUCAUUUUUGCCAGUGUGACAUGUCCCAAGUGACACCUCACCCCUCAUGAAGCCAGUGCCCACCCAGGUCCCUUCCAGCAACGCACAGCCCCUGCUGCCCAGGGCAGGCCACCCUCGUGGUGACGACCAACUCCCGGGCAGGGUUGCCCCCAAGCCAACAGCUCCGUCCUCUCCCAGUCCUCCGCACUCCUGAGGUAUCUCCCCAGAGGCCCCCACCUCCAGAUGCCCCUGUCCCAGAGAGCAGCCCCCGUGUCUGUGGUGCUCGCUUCCCUGACAGCCAGUGCACCCGAAACCUUCUCAGGUCUGAUGGCUCGUGGACUUGCUCGUUGGUUCGCCCAGUCAAAGCCCUCUCCCAUCUUCCCAUAGAGUUUGUCUCUUUCUUGACAACUUAUAAGAGUUCUUAGUACAGGGGCUGGCCCCGUGGUUGAGUGGUUAAGUAUGUGCACUCUGCUUCGGCGGCCCAGGGUUUUGCUGGUUCGGAUCCUGGUUGCGGACAGGGCACUGCUCGUCUGGCCAUGCUGAGGUAUCAUCCCACAUGCCACAACUAGAAAGACCCACAAUGAAAAAUACACAACUAUGUACCAGGGGGUGGGGGGCUUUGGGAGAAAAAGGAAAAAUAAAAUCUUAAAAAAAAAAAAGUUCUUAGUACAAUAUGGACUUUAGCUAUCUGUCACCUUAAUUAAACUAGUUUCUCAAAUCAAUGAUUUGUCUGCUGACUUGGCUUGUGGAAUAUUUUGCUACAUUCAAGUUUCAAGUUUGAUAUAGUUAAGUGUGACUGUAGGGAAAUAUGGAAGUAUAUAUAUAAGAGAUUACUGUGUUUCUCCAGACAGAGUCUGUAUAAGGAGAAGAAAACCAAAAAAAUUAAUAUCCUCAAAGAGAUGAGAGAAAGUAUCGUGACCACAGAAAAAGAUCAGAAUGCUACAGAAGUAAUUAUUCAGAGAACAAAAACAAGCUCUUGGAAAUAAACGUGACGGCAGAAAUGAAAAGCUCAGUGAAGGAGCUGGAAGUCAGAGUUCAAGCGUCUCCUUGAAAGUAAAGCCAAAGACCAAAAAAAAAAAGGAAAUAGGAAAGGUUUUUGGAGUCCAGUCUGAGAGGCCCGAGAUCCUGACAGUGUUUACCACAGAAAGAGGGAGAGAGAAGACACAGGGAGGAGAUAAUUUAAAAUUAGUAAUUCAGGGGCCGGCCUGGUGGUGCGGUGGUUAAGUGUGCACGUUCUGCUUUGGUGGCCCAGGGUUCGCCGGUUCAGAUCCCUGGUGCUCGGCAAGCCAUGCUGUGGUAGGCGUCCCACAUACAAAGUAGAGGAAGAUGGGCAUGGAUGUUAGCUCAGGGCCAGUCUUCCUCAGCAAAAAGAGGAGGAUUGGCAGCAGAUGUUAGCUCAGGGCUAAUCUUCCUCAAAAAAAAAAAAAAAAAUUAGUAAUUCAAGAAAAUUUCUGGAACUGAAAGACAGGAAUUUCCAGAUUGAAAGAGCUGCUGGGCACCUAGCAAUGGGAUGAAAAUGAAGCCACAGAAAGGCCAUUUUCAUGAACUGUGAGAACACUGAGGACAAAAAGAAGCCCUAAAACUUCAAGCCAGGAAAACCAACUGGGAGCAGCUCCAGUGGCCUGGUGGUUAUAGUUUGGAUGCUCGGCUUCGGCGGCCUGGGUUUGGUGUCCCCUGUCAGUAUUGUCUGUCAGUAGCCAUGCUGUGGUGGUGGCUCACAUAGGAGAACCAGAAGGACCUACAACUAUGUACUGGGACUUUGGGGAGAAAAGAAAGAGGAAGGUUGGCAACAGAUGGUAACUCAGGGCAAACCUUUCCCAACAACAACAAAAAAAGAAAAAAUGAAAAACCGAGUGGGUUUCACACCAUGGAUCAGCAGUGACAAUAACAUCGCAUUUACCCACAGCAGCAUUGGAAGCCGGGAGAUGCGAGGACAAUGUUCUCACAGCUCGGAGGGAAAAUGGUGACUGUGCUGGAGUUUUAUACCCAACCAAACUGUCAUCUGGUGAGCAUGGACUAAAGGCAUUUUAAAGCCACGUGUCUGCCUGCCAUGUGCCCUUUCUCAGGAAACUACUGAAGGACUACUCCACCAAACAAGGAGUAAACUGAGAAAGGGGAAGGCAUGGGAUCCCGGAAAAUCCAACCCAGGGAAGAAGCAAAGGGAAUCUUUAGGAUGAAGACCAAGGGAGCUCUCAAGGUGCCAGCCCUGCCACAGACCCAGGCAGGAUGGUCCAGGACUGCGCAGGUGGGGGCUCCUGCAGGGACCUCCUUGGAAAUACCCUUGUGUUAGAACGUAAGCCACUGGUGGGAGCCUGAGGGUGAACUGGUGAUGAGUUCAGAGAAAACUCAGCUGGCACGAAAAAAGAAAGGCAAUUAUUAACUCCAGGGAAAACAGCGCAUCUGUGGGUAGGAACAGUAACCAUGGCAUGCCACAGGCCUGGCGUGAAUGCAAAUCUAAUUGCUGAAUACAGAGCUAACUAGAGAUAUAAGGUAACUCUGUUGGGAAUAUAGGAGGACCCAAGUGUGUGUGGGAGUGGGGAGAAGUGAAGAAAUAAUUGGCAUCUUCCUUAGAGUGAAUUUAACAGAUAGCACCUGAGACGGAAACACUGAGAAGCUGAUAUUCAGUCACGUUCUCACGCAGACGCUGGCACAGGAGUCGCAUGGGAAGAUGGAAGUGGUUGCCCGUGGGGCUGGUGUCGAGGGUCUGGCAGAGGCUGGAUUUGUUCAAGCCUCACAGAAAUGUCUGACUCUUAAACUACAUACAAGUAUAACUUUGAUAAAAAAUGAAACUAAACAUUCAGUUGGUGCACUCCCCAUCCUCUGAGGCCUGGCAGUCAUUUCAGCAAAACGGAAAUGACCUGUAAUGAAAGGUCAGCUGGAACUUGGCUGUGAAUGUAUCUGUUCUCAUUCCAUUUUCAAGGAAAUGUCUCUGAGCACCUUUCCUGACUCUUCUACGUAACAGGCCACCUCACAUUUCCACCCCCCUUUUGAUAGUUGAUAUUCUGCUGGACAGCAUCCAUUUCUCUGGGUUUUCCCAGUAUGGGGCCACAUGCAGUCCAGCACCCCCAGCCCACUGUCCACCCUCCGGGUCAGGCACGGUCUCCAUGGCGGCCACUCAUUUUGCUGCGUGGCCGUGAGGCUGUGUCGCUAUGGCGCUACCCUGUGCCUCGGGCCUCAUCUCAGUUCACUGUGCCUGUGUUACCAUGGCACCCUGGGCACUGAAUCUCGGCAGGAUUGAAUUCCACACAUAGACGUGUGUCUUGUCAAACAGGAUAAAUAUGGUUUCCUUGCAAGAGUGUCUGGCCGUUGUCGUGUCCAGGAAACGUAAACCAAGCCAUCUGGGUCUUGCUCCCUGCCUCCAGGGCCCCCAGGUUUCAGGCUGUCAUCUUCAGGGAUGGCUGGGUCAUAAAUAGGCCCGUGAACAGUUUAGGCCCUUCCCACAGGAAGUUCAGAAACACACACAAACGUCACAGAGGUCCAAGACCCCGACUUCUCCUGGGGAGCCCUGGCAUCACCUCGCAGCCUUUCCAUGGAGAAGACUGGGGCUGAAUUUCCAACAGGCCACGGUGCUGUGGGGUCUCGGCAGCCCGGCCGACCAGCACUGGCCCAUUUUCAAGCCCCAGCUUUCCCAUCUGUUUUCAAACACUCCCACGUGUGUGUGGGCACAAUCCCCACCCAUCCCCCCAACAAAUAGCAUAAAUGGCCGCUUUCUGUAAGACUGUCCAGCAAGGGCAUCCACUUCCAGAGGCCCCCACCUUCUCCCGUGGGCUCCUUGCCGCCCAGGGCACAGCCCCAUGCUCACAGCUGGGACCUUUCCAGAGUCCCUGAUGCCCCAGUGCCACCAGCAGCAUCAGGACACCUCAGAGACAGCAGGCUGGACCGCGGCUCAGAAGGGAAAGCUUCGGAAUGGGCGCUGGUGGGGGUGGGGCACGGGUUCUGGAGCCAGCUCCGUCCAGAAGCGAUCAGGUAACCUCGGACCCCAGGAGACAAACCUCUCCGGACGCUCCCCAUGAGCCUCAGUCCUACCUGGUUCCCGAGGAUGGCGGCAUCCCGGCACGGCUCCUCAGGGCACCCGCUCUGCCUUAUCAUGGCCUGGCUGGUCGGAAUGCGGUGGAAACCUUUGCCUGGUACAAGCGGCCUCUGCAACACAGCCCAGGAAUUUUGCAUUGAAUAAUUUUUAACUUCUGCUCUGAGAGAAAACCAGGGUUGUGUAAAGUGUCUGUCUACACAGGAAUGCCAAGGGGCUUUCAUUUGCAAGUAAAUACCUCAAUAAUAACGAGGAAAACUGCCUUGGGGGAAAAAAGAAGAAAAAACAGAGAAAGAAAGUGCUCACAGGGCCUCAGGGCCCUGCCGGUCAGGCGGUCUUACCUCUCCCCCAGGGAAGUGAGGGCAGCGUCUCAGCCGGGGACCCGCAUGGUGGACGGGCUUCUCUGGGGGCCGGCCCGCCUGGCGACUGCUCCCACUCCGCAUCCCCCCACCUCCCCUGGCCUCUGACCCCAUGCCCCGUCCUGCCAUUUCUUUCAACAGCUUCAAAUUUCAGAAACUGCCGGAGCCAGGCACCACCCCGGCGACCUGCCACCGCCUCCAGCACUCCCUGGGCUGCUCUGCACUCUUCCGUGGCUCGGACCGAGACCCUGUGACUGGACGUGACAGAGGCCGCACGCAGCUCCUGUAGGCCCUGUCGCCACAUGGGGGCUGGCCCUGCUCCGAUGACCAUCACCCAGCGAGCUGGAACAUGCACAGCCCCAAACCAGAGUUUUCCUUUAAAAAGACCUCCAGUUCCUCCAGCUCUGGGUCAGGCGUGACAGUCGCUCAUAGUACCCAGGAGAGAGAAUCCAGGCAAAGAGAACAGAGAUGGCAUUUCAGAAAAUGAAUCGUUAUAUACAGGGCACAGAGCUCAUCUUUUCCAGUGGAAAACAUGGCAGGAAAAGACCCUACUGUCCAACAUAUAAGACAUUUAAAGAACGGACGCAUUGGAAUCCUCAAGCUCUCACAGUAACUCCUUUUCACAAGGGAAGCACCUCCAGGACGCUCUGCUUGGGAAAACACCCAGCACCAAGAGUCAGAAAGCAGAAGCAUAAAGCACCCUGAGGACUGAUUCAGACAGACGGCCUCGCGGUGGGGCCAGUGCUGCACCCCCAGGAGCCGGCGAAAGCAUAACCCUGACGGUGCACCUGCGGGCCCUAGGUGUGCGCUCUUGCUGCUGCCCAAUCUGCAAGCAUUGUGCCCCUUCUCAGGGGCGGCCGCUAACGCCACAGCGGCAGACCAGACCACCCAGGGGACGGGAGUAGAGAGGGACCCCAGGCCCCCAAAUGGUAUCCGUGAGCACCACCCAGGAGCAAGUCGGUACCAGGCACCGAGGCUGCAACAGCAAAGGGCGCAGACCAGGUCUUGGGAGAUGGGGGGCUUUAGUGGGGACAGUGCAGGCUGAACAGAGGAAAGGAGGCAGGAGUGGGAUCUCGGG
This 6284-nucleotide long non-coding RNA is filed under the name Equus caballus (horse). Its description in RNAcentral is "lncRNA (ENSECAG00000045812.1)". The record is from RNAcentral. Lineage: Eukaryota; Metazoa; Chordata; Mammalia; Perissodactyla; Equidae.